GACGAAGGAUGCAAGCGUUAUCCGGAUUCAUUGGGUUUAAAGGGAGCGUAGGCGGAUAGGUAAGUCAGUGGUGAAAUCCCAUCGCUUAACGAUGGAACUGCCAUUGAUACUGCUUAUCUAGAGUACAGUUGCCGUUGGCGGAAUAUGACAUGUAGUGGUGAAAUACUUAGAUAUGUCAUAGAACACCGAUUGCGAAGGCAGCUAACGAAGCUGUAACUGACGCUGAGGCUCGAAAGUGCGGGGAUCAAACAGGAUUAGAACCCCAGUAGUCC
Molecule: ribosomal RNA, 272 nt
Filed under: uncultured prokaryote
Description: partial 16S ribosomal RNA
Rfam family: Bacterial small subunit ribosomal RNA
Source: RNAcentral